Molecule: long non-coding RNA, 2848 nt
Organism: Strigops habroptila (Kakapo)
Lineage: Eukaryota; Metazoa; Chordata; Aves; Psittaciformes; Psittacidae
Source: Ensembl
UAGACAUGUUUAUUGUUAAAAAGAAAAGCAGACAAAAUACUUUUGAAAUAUGAAAUAAACAGUCAAACAGCAUUUUAACACCAGUAAUGACUGUACAACCCAGUAAAGUUUUACUAAACAUUUAAAAGCAUUCCAUCUAGCAAAUUAUAAUCAAAACCUGUCAAACACUUAUAUAAAUGCAAAAACAUGAAAUACACUUGAUAGAAACAUAUCUGGAAAUAAGCUCUAAGUUGCAGUAUUACUAUUUCUUCCUAUUAUUUAAUACUACUUUCACCUCAUGUCCAGUUUUAUGCGUAAGACUGUUUUUAUUAUAUUCUUUGCUCCUUUGCACUCAUCAUCAUACAGUUUAUUUCCCCACAUUUUUUGCACAGUUUCAAAAAUCAGAAUUUAGUAUCAGACAACCCCAUUUUCUCAGUGGGAGUUAUAGCAGCAACAUUUAUACUUCAAGGUCUUGUACUUAAAAGUGACAAAGGCCAUGUAUAUCUAUUACAGUCCAUAUUAGCCUAACUGUCAUCAUCAUCAUCACUACUACUGUGAGUCUUAGUCCACUCCCUGUAGGCCUGUCUUUUCUGAAAGCAUGGUAAAGGAAGAAGAAAGCAGAAGUGUUAGUUUUGAAGUAUUAGUUUGUCUGGCAAAUUUGUUAAUUAAAGCAAAAUAAAUCCCCAGAAAACAAAACAAUUCUGAAGUGACAUCCUACAGUAUGAGCACACAAAAUCUCCUAUAUUCUAUUUCCUUUAAUCAACAUAUACAACCUUUAAACCGCUAGAAGAAAUUUUAUUCCAAUCUAAUCCAGUAAUCGUCAAAAAUGCUACAACACAGUGACUGCAGUGGGACCAGUCACCAGACCUUUAUACAUAGAAAUAAUACAAAAGCGGAAAAUAAUCUUUUUUCCCUGUAAGAAAACAUGAUGCUAUUUCGAUUGCUUCAGACAGGGGACAUGUAAUACACUGAGACUCAUGCAAAAGAAUUAUUGCUAGAACAGAAACAUUACAAACUAAAAACAUUAGCACACUUCAGGGUAUAAGGAAUCAAACAUACUAUAUCAGAAAUUAAUGUCUGACAAAAAAAAAAAGCAAUUCAGUAUUUUCUGAUUUGACUGUCUACAGGGAGAAUUAUAACCCUGUUUGGAGCUUUUAUAACAUUUCUUCAAGAGCAGUUCUGCCUUAGAAUCAUCAUUAGUAGUGAAAACUAAUAUGAAACAUACAAUUUUUCAACUUUAGCUACUUUCGAAAGGGUGGCUGUCAUCACAAAAUGUGACAGGCAUUACACAAGGCAAUGCCUUUAUGCUUUUGUAAGUUGGAUUUUGCAGGUGACGGUACCGUACUCAACCAAACAACAGAGAAAAAUUAAAAUUACAUAUUACAUUGCAGAAUUUUUAAAAAGUUUCUCAGGAAAACAAAACAAAACCCAAACUGCAAACAUGUACAAAUUUAAGAAGCAAAAGCAAUGCAAAGCCAUUAGAGAAGUCUGCACAUUAGAGCUCACUCUGUUGGCUUGCUAGUGUUUGGUGUAGUGGUACACUUUAAAACAGAGAAGGGGAUGUUUUGGAAUUCAUUUUCUUGAAAGAAAGAGGAGAAAUGUUACGCCAUUCAUCAUGUUAAUACUGGCAUAAGUUUCCAGUAGUAGCUUUUAACUAUGCUCUAGUUAAGGUAGUACUGCUUUAUAACACUAGCUUUAAAUUGGAGAGCAUGGACUAAAGCUAUCUCAUUAGAAGAAAAACAGAGGCAUACUACUUAUUCUCAAAGAACUUUCACAGUCUGCUGAACUAGAUCACCACUGAACAUGGCUGAGAUAUCCCAAAUAGGACAAUCCUCUUCUACCAGAAUACAAAAGAUGCACUGAUAAAAUGCAGAAGAAAGUCAACCAUAUUGGAACUUGACAUGAAACAAACAGCUACGGCAAUUCCCAAAAUAGUCUAGAAUUCCUCUUAUCAACUUCUCCAAGAAGAUUAUUUCUAUAUGACUUCUCCAACUUAUCCCUGGCACACUGAAUUCUUCAAUGUUUAUUCAAAAAAUUCUGUUUACAUUCAUGCAAUCACUAAUUACUACUUUAUUCCUUAUGUUUGAAUAUUUCUAAAAUGCAGUUUUACUUCUAACAGAAUAAAAUAGAAACUUUCUAAGCUGCAUAACAGUUAUUUCUACUUUGAUAUCCAAAUCAAAUUUAUUAAAUGGCAGCUAAAUUAUUAAAGAAUAACUGCUGCUCAGCUUCUUCAUGUAAGUAGUAUUCCACUAGAAAACUGUUUCUGUUCUUUCAAUGACUGUAGUACAAUACAGAUACAGCUAUUUUAAGUGUUUAAAAAUCUGUUUUACAUAAAAUUGAUAUUAAAAAGCUAUGGCUUAAAAUGUGUAUUACAAAAUUGCUGAAAAAAGUAUCUUUAUCAUCACAAUUUAUCAAAAAUAAAAAGACAAACGUUUUUCUUUUUUCAAAAGGCUUUCUAUCUUGCACAAACCUCUAUAGAUACACUGCUAUAAAUUAUAGUGUCUUUCUCAGAAGCUGUAUCACAGAAACUAAACCACCAAAGUGGUCAUAAGCUUAAGAAAUUAAAUGAAAUUUCUUGACUACUGAGUCACUAGGUAAGAGGUGGUAAGGAAUUUAAGAAAUGGAAAAUACAGUGAAUUAUUUAUUUCAACAUAUGAUGAGCUUAAAUGUAUGUCAAAUUAUCUUUCAUUUCCAUCACCUGUAACAUUUGGCUUCCGGUUCCAUCUCUUAAUCUGUAAGGUCUAAUAACUCCAUCUUCACCAAAGAAGCGAGGCGGGCGCAGGCUUAUCACAUCUUCUGAUGAAUCUGUAACUCUGACAACAGAGCCACAAAUUUAAGGUAUGUGUUGUUAUUUAUAUUCAGAUAUAAU